GAUGAACGCUGGCGGCGUGCCUAAUACAUGCAAGUCGAGCGAACAGAUAAGGAGCUUGCUCCUUUGACGUUAGCGGCGGACGGGUGAGUAACACGUGGGUAACCUACCUAUAAGACUGGAAUAACUCCGGGAAACUGGGGCUAAUGCCGGAUAACAUUUAGAACCGCAUGGUUCUAAAGUGAAAGAUGGUUUUGCUAUCACUUAUAGAUGGACCCGCGCCGUAUUAGCUAGUUGGUAAGGUAACGGCUUACCAAGGCAACGAUACGUAGCCGACCUGAGAGGGUGAUCGGCCACACUGGAACUGAGACACGGUCCAGACUCCUACGGGAGGCAGCAGUAGGGAAUCUUCCGCAAUGGGCGAAAGCCUGACGGAGCAACGCCGCGUGAGUGAUGAAGGUCUUCGGAUCGUAAAACUCUGUUAUUAGGGAAGAACAAAUGUGUAAGUAACUGUGCACGUCUUGACGGUACCUAAUCAGAAAGCCACGGCUAACUACGUG
Molecule: ribosomal RNA, 497 nt
Filed under: uncultured bacterium
Lineage: Bacteria
Description: partial 16S ribosomal RNA
Rfam family: Bacterial small subunit ribosomal RNA
Source: RNAcentral